Molecule: long non-coding RNA, 7127 nt
Filed under: Macaca mulatta (Rhesus monkey)
Lineage: Eukaryota; Metazoa; Chordata; Mammalia; Primates; Cercopithecidae
Description: lncRNA (ENSMMUG00000054261.1)
Source: RNAcentral
GGGCAGGGACGGGGCGCGACCUGGACAACCGCGGUCGCUGUCCGUGGCGCCGCUGGGCCUGCGACUAGGUGGCAUCCUUCGGACACUAUAGGCCGUUUCUGCACACGUGAUGCGGGGCUCAGUCACGUUUCCCCCUGGAGGCUUGAGGAUGCGCCAGUGUGAGCGUCUGGAGUCCUGACUGUCCCAGCCAGCCCAGCCACGAUGAGCUGUCUAAGAGGAUGUGUAUGAAAGUUUUCAAGACGCCUACAAGUGGAAAAUGCACUCCUCCCAGCCAAAUCAAGCUUUGCCAGAUUCCUUACAGCUGUGUGCAGUGAAAUGACUAAUGAAAGAGCCCUCCGCUGCUGGUGGAACUUUCACAUAUGGCACUGCUGUGCCACUCAGCAGGACCUGACCCUGGUAUUUACAUAUUGGAUGUCACCCCAAAAGCCCCUGACACGGGGGUUUCCGGGAUGUAAUAAGAAUGCCACUCUGGGCUUUGGAAGGUGCACCGUAUGCACACCCAUACUAUAGGGCAGAGAUUAGCAUUUCAGACCCCCAUUCCUCCCUCAACAAGCAAGUGCUUUUCCCCAGGGAGGACGUUCAGAUUCAUUCAUAGAUCCAUUGGUGCCAUGGGCAGCUCAGUAACAGUAGCUCUGCUGCCUACCAGCUGCUGGUAGAGGUGUUGAGAAUACCUAGAUGAGGAAGUCAGCUGCUGGUGGAGGUGUUGAGAAUACCUAGAUGAGGAAGUCAGGGCCCCUGCGUGCUUGAGCAGAGCUGGAUGCCUGGCAUGGCAAUGGACACAAACCCUUGGAUAAUUUCCAUCCUUGGCGGUGUGUUCUGUAGCAUAGGUGUGAAGCGGGUGCUCUGCGAGCUCGGAAGAGGGGCUCUUAACUUAUGGGUGGCCAGGGAAGGCUUCCUGGAGCUCAGAUGACUGAGUGGAGUCUUCAACAUUAAAAAAUAAAAAGUGCUCACCCCCACCCCCAGUUAAAAAGGUAAUACACCUAAUUGAAAUAAUUUAAACUUUACAGAAAUGGGUUCCUUUAAAGUUCAGAGAGUAAAGAGGAAGUAAUAAAGCUCAAAUCAUAGAAUGUCUAAUUAACUGCAGCCUGUAACUUUCUUCCUGAAAAGGGAGUGGUGUGUGUGCAUGUGUGAGUGUGUGUAGGUGAAUCUGUAAAGGAUGGAGUAGUACUAAAAAGAGGGAGGUGAAGACGGAGGUGAGAUCUCAUCUUUGUGCCCUGAACCUCUUUGUUAUAAUGUCAGGCAAGGAGAGAAAUCAAUACUCAUCCUCUAUGGGACUCUGGCUUUUUCAAACUUGGUUUGCCAGGUUUUGGUCUUGGUUGUUGAUGGCUUGUAACUUCAGAGUCUCAUUGCUGGCCAUGCUUCCAAGUGGUUUAUUAAGAAGUUUUCCUAAACAAAAUUGAUCUCUCCCUAAAAAAGUUAUAGGUCUAGCUGUGAGAUGUUAACAAUAUUUAGCCUGCUACAAUACCAAUAAGAGUUCCCAUUUACUGAAGACUUUCUUUGUACCAGCUGUGUGCUAAGAGCGUUAUAUUUGUUACCUCAUAACAUCAACCCUCACACCAACCUUACGAAGCAGGUAUUUCAUUCAUCCCAGAUAAAGGAAGCUAGGAUUAUUACUGCUGCACCCACAUAGCUGAUAAUCAGUGGGGCUUGGCCCCAAACCCAGGUCUCUGACUCCUACGUCUAUGCUUACGAACGUACCAUUUCUGUGCAGUAUUUCUCAAACAUAUUUGGCUACAGGAACAUUUUCAAAAGUGAACACCACUUACUUCUUAGUACUGUUAUUAGCAUUUCAUGGAACACAAUUUGGGAAAUACUGCCCCAGGAAAAUACUGCCCUGUCUUUAAAAUAGUGAUAAUAAUACAAUCUCCAUAUUGCGAUGAUUAAAAGACGUUUCAGGAAAUGGGUGCUGAGGAUACUUACUUUCCACCAGGAAUGUGUGUGUGCUUUAAAAAUAACAUUCGUGGCCGGGCACAGUGGCUUACGCCUGUAAUCCUAGCAAUUUGUGAGGCCGAGGCAGGUGGAUGGCGUGAGUCCAGAAGUUUGAGAUCAGCCUGGGCAACAUGGUGAAACCCUGUCUCUACUAAAAAUACAAAAAUUACUCGGGUAUGGUGGUGCAUGUCUGUGGUCCCAGCAAUUCGGGAGGCUGAGGUGGGAGGAUCGCUGGAGUCUAGGGCGUGGAGGUUGCAGUGAGCCAAGAUGACAUCGCUGUACUCCGGCCUGGGCAACGGAGUGAGACCUUGUCUCUCUCUCAAAUAAUAAUAAUAAUAAUAAUAAUAAUAAUAAUAGUAUAACAUUUGUAAUGUCCUCAGUGAAAGGAAGCAGUGUUUUGGCCAGGAUGAUAAUGAAGAUAUUGUUACUGGGCUGGAAGACCCUUGGGCCCUGUGGGGGAGGGCCUUGUAAGCUGCCACUGCCUCCCUUCCACAGGUGCCCCUUUGGUCCCCUUCCCUCCCCUCUGCCCUCUGGUUCUCUCCAUCAUCCCUCUGUAGUGCUCGUCUUUGUUCAGGAUGAUGCUCUGUUUGCCUGCCUCUGGGCAGGGGCCUUGCUCUAAACCACGCUGCUGCCUACUCAGGCCAGCCCAGGAUGUCUGCUUUGCAAAUUUGGACUGUUCUGAGCCCCAGCUGUAGGCCAGGGGUCUGUGACAUAUUGGGCAGACCACCCACAGCCCAGCUGCUGCCAUUGCUCAGCCUACAUAUUCCCAGAGAGCACAUCAUCACCCACAACAUCUCACCGACAGACCCUGCCUUUAGAGACAAUGACCAACCUAGGUGAGCCUGGUUGGCUCUACCUCCCUGGACAUUGAUUUGGACAGCUCACCGACUCCCAAAGGAGCCAGUCUUUGGGCCUGGUUGGCUCCCAACCUACUCCCUGCCCCAUUGGUUUGCUACAGGGGCCCGGCAGUCCCAAAUCAUGACAUUCCUUUUCUUCCAUGCACCGGUUUUGCCCAGCUGUCCUUUUUUCUUUCAUAAUUUCAUCAGUCCCACAGAUAUGCACAUUUGGGCAAAAAUACUAGGAACAAAACAGACAAACAAAAACAGGCCCUCAACCCAGCUCCUGAAGACCAGUUAGAAAGAGCAUUUGCAUUCUUCUCAGUAAAUAUCAAGCACACUAAAAAAGAAAACAAAUUAUUUCACUUACGUUCUCACUUGCACCUGUGAGGGAGCCAUUGUUACUGUCAUUUCAUGCAUGGAAAGGCGGGGGGGUCACAGAGGUCAGCUGAUUUGCCUAACGUUGCAGAGCUGAAAGCACCAAAGUCAGGACCAGAAUAAUUAUCCAGUGUUUGUCCCUCUGCCAAGUGCUGCCCCUUGGACUUGGGGCCCUCAGGCCAUCAAGACUGGGGCCCUUUGCUCCUGGAGGGUCCCAAAUUGAUAGCGUAAGGCUGGUUCCGAUCGAGUCCGACAUGCUGCUAGGAACCCUCCGUUUUCUUCCCUUUAUUCUCUUCCAUCUUCCUUUUCCUAAGACUCAUCCCACUGUCCAUUCUUCAGAGGCUUCAAGGUGCUCUUUGACUUUUCUCUGUAGCUAGGCCAUGGGACUUUUAGGUGUCACCCACCGUCCCACCCACUCACUUGCCUCUUGACAGUGCACCAGCUGAAGCACAACUAUGUGUUGGGGAGAUAUGUAAGGAGAAAUGUGAGAUAAAUAAAGCGUUAAAGAAAUAUUGCCCCUAAUAAAGCGUUAAAGAAAAAUUAUCCUGAUAUCUGUGAAAAACAGCAAUGAAGACUAUUCAAGACUGUUGCAAUAAGAGUCAAGAUUAUUGCAAUAGGUGAGAGGAUUGAAACCCAAUUAUAUCAGGGAUAAGGGAGGAUUUACAGCCAAUGAGCAGGGUGGGGGAGUGGAUGGAAAAUUACCUAGAGGAACUUGAUUAGGUGGAGGAAGAGGAGCUUGAUUGGAUGUUGAGGGUGAGAGAAUCUCAGUAAAUGGACUUAACAAGAUUCAUUGCUAAAACUGGGCUCAGCAGGUCAAGGGCAAGGCCUAGUUGAGAAGAGGGCUUAAGGGAACCUGACUAAAGUUUGGUCAAGGAGGGAGUCUUUGUCAGCACUCACAAAGUCAUGUGAGAGUCAGGACCCAAACGCAGGACCCAAGGUGCUACGAGGCAGUGAUGUGCCAGCCAUGGCAUGACUGGAGCUUGGAGAGGAGCCAGUGGAUCUAUCUGGUUUAUUCCAUUCCCUGGCUUCAGGGCUGACUGGCGGACAGUCACACUGGCUUCAUCUCAGGUUCAUUCAUUUCUCACUGCUCUGUGAUAUACCAUACUCUUCUUCUACUUCAUACUUUGAAGCUUGAAUUUCCAGGAUUUGAUAAGAAAGACUGAAAAGCAUAAGCAGACUGAAAAGUGCCAAGGCUUUAUCUAGACCUUGGACAAGAACUUCAACCUCAUGUUUCUUGUUUGCAAUAUUGGGGCAAUACUUGUUACAGAUUGAAUCGCAUCCCCCAAGAAUUCAUUUAUUGGCUUAACCUGCGGUAUGACUGUAUUUGGAAACAGGGCCUCUAAGAAGGUUAACAGUUAAAUGAGAUCAUAGAAGGUGGGGCCCUAAUCUGAUAGAACUGGUGUCCUUGUAAGAAGAGGAAGAGAUACCAGAGAUCUUUUCCUCUGUGCACACACAGAGGAAAGGCCAUGCAAAGACGUAGUGAGAAGGUGGCCGUCUGCAAGCUGGGAAGGGAGGUUUUACCAGCAACAACAUUUUCUGGCAUGUUGACCUUAGACUUCUUGCCUCCAGAACUGUGAGAAAAUAAAAGUGUCUGUGGUUUAAGCCGUCCAGUCUGUGGUAUUUGUGAUGGCAGCCUGAGCACACUAGUACAAUACCUAUCCUGUGGGUUUAUGAUGAGAACUAAACAUAAGGUAAGUUGAGGACCUAACUGCAAUUCACACAUGUUGGCUUGUCUCCCUUUCCUCCUGUCAUGUGAUUUGUGGGGUGUUAAGGGUCUUUUGCCAGCAGACACCUUCCUUGUGACCGACCAUAUGAUGGUGUGAAAAAUUCACACGGUAGAAGCAUUCUUUUGGCUUCAGCUUUGCUUCUCUGUGUUGCAAGGAACAGAACCUUCACAGAUUAGUAUAAACUAAAAGGGGGAAUUUUCUGAAAGCAUGUUAUUAUCAGUUAGGAUUCCUGGUUUCAAGCCGUGUACAUGAAUUGGCUGGUUUAGGCCAAAAAGGAACUAUUGAAAGGAUAUAGACUGGGGUACAGGAUUGGAGGGAAGGAUGGAGGAUCAGAUGUGGAGCCUGCCAGCAAAAGGGCCAAACAUCACACCUUAGAAUGGGGGGUGGGGACUGCAAGGCUGUGCUGCUGGGCGCCGGCUGCUGCUGCUCGCUCCUCUGACCCCGUGAACACCGGCCUGCUCUGACAUUGCUGGGCUAGACUCUUCUGUGACCGAGUCCUCCACACCCAUGUGCCCUGUGGUCUCUGUGGUUCUGGAGUGCUGCUGUCUCCUUGGCUGAGCUUAGAUCAUGAACACUGGCAUUUUCAGCACAGAGUGGGAGGCAACCCUGCCUCCUUUCAAGAUUCAUAAGGCGGGGAACUUCCCCAAACAAUUAAAAGCAGGCUCAAAAUGCCAGAUGGUCAAAAAGAAUAACAAAUUCCCCCACAGAUACAGGGAAACCUUUCAGAGCCCCCACAUAGGAAGUGCAGCUUCACUCAUAGGAGUGAGAACAAAGAAUUGGAAAGCCGACGGCUGGUCACUGCAUCUGUCUGCCCCUGUCUGUCUCUGUGUCUCUGUCUUUCUCUCUGUCCUGUGUUUUCCAGCUCCACUUGCUGAAGGUAAGGCCCACCUCUGUCCUGACCGGAAGAAGUUAGCUGUCUCCCUUAGAACAUCUUUUUCCUCAUCUUCUGCAAAUGCUUCUCAAUUCUCCUUGGAGAUCCCCUCCUCUGUCCGUUUUUGGUCUGGGUGGGCUCCAUUCUCAGCCCUUGGGAUGGGCCAUAGGGCCCCGUCCGAAACCAAUCAGCACACUGUGUGCCCUUGGCUGCAGGAGUGAGCAUGUGACCUAAAACAGCCUGGAUUUCUCCCCCCUCUUUUUUAUUGAACUCUAACUUACCUGUUGCAAAGUGCACAAAGUGUACACCUCAAUUUUACAUAAAAUCCAUUGUAUACACCUGUGGAAUCAUUACUGAGACUGAGAUACUGGUCAUUUCCAUCAGUCCAGCAACUAACUCCCCUUGUAGUCCUUCUCUGUAAUACUCCACUCGAAGAUAAUCACUAUUCCAACUUCAGUUCCCGUUAAUGGAAAUUUUACCCAUUUUUGAAUUCUGUGUGAAUGGAAUAAUAUGUAAUCUUUGGCGGCUGGCUGUUGGUCUUUCUCUUAUUGACUUACGGCAAUUCUUUAUUUUGGAUAUGAGUCCUUUGCUAAAUAUAUAUUGCAAAUAUGUUUUCUUAGCCCGUAGUUGCAUUUUGACUCUCUUAAGGAUGUCUUUUUAGGAAUAUUAGUUCAAAUUGUUAGUCUUGUCUACGGUUAAUGCUUUUAAUUUGUUCUAUUUAGAAAUAGAAAAUCUUUUAAUGCUUUUCAUUUGAUCUAUUUAGAAAAUCUUUGCACACUCUGAGAUCAUGCGCAAGUUACUUUGAGGGACGGAGAAGUAAAAGGUUUUUGUUGCAUCUGAGAUUGUGAGGCAGUGAGGUUGAGCCAGAAAUGGAGACAGAAAACAGAAAAACUUGCAGGGCUGGCCUUGAGAUGGGGCACUGUCACCAGGGGAGUCUGAGCUUUGCAGGAACUGUCUGUUUGCUGUAGUUAUGGCUGAAAUCAGAGGCAGGUCAAGUGGAUGAGACGUGGGGCAGUUGACCUCAGAAGAGAUUCCUUUAACUAGUUCCUUUUUUUUUUUUCUUGAGACGGAGUCUCGCUCUAUUGCCAGGCUGGAGUGCAAUGGCACCAUCUUGGCUCACUGCAACCUCCACCUCCCGGGUUCAAGCAAUUCUCCUGCCUUAGCCUCCCGAGUAACUGGGAUUACAGGCGCCCGCCACCACGCCUGGUUACUUUUUUACAUCUUUAAUAGAGACAGGGUUUCACCAUGUUGGCCAGGCUGGUCUUGAACUCCUGACCUCAUGGUUUGCCCGCCUCGGCUUCCCAAAGUGCUGGGAUUACAGGCGUGAGCCACCAUGCCCGGCCAACUAUUUCCUUUUUAAAAAAUUUUUAUUUUUAUUUUUUGAGA